GAUGAACGCUAGCGGAAGGCUUAAUACAUGCAAGUCGAGCGGUAGGUGGCUUCGGCCAUUGAGAGCGGCGCACGGGUGAGUAACGCGUACAUGACCUGCCUGUCAGAAGGGGAUAGCCCUGGGAAACUGGGAUUAAUACCCUAUGGUAUUGAUAUUAUGAAUGAUAUCAAUUAAAGUUGAGGCGCUGACAGAUGGAUGUGCGUCUGAUUAGCUAGUUGGUAGGGUAACGGCCUACCAAGGCGACGAUCAGUAGGGGGCGUGAGAGCGUGGUCCCCCACACGGGUACUGAGACACGGACCCGACUCCUACGGGAGGCAGCAGUAAGGAAUAUUGGUCAAUGCCCGCAAGGGUGAACCAGCCAUUCCGCGUGGAGGAUGAAGGCCCUAUGGGUUGUAAACUUCUUUUAGAUGGGAAGAAAUGCUAGAUGUAUCUGGUACUGACGGUACCAUC
This 450-nucleotide ribosomal RNA is filed under the name uncultured bacterium. RNAcentral's name for it is "bacterial SSU rRNA". It matches the Rfam family "Bacterial small subunit ribosomal RNA", at positions 28 to 482 of the family's 1533-position model. The record is from RNAcentral.